GGGUGCGAUCAUACCAGCACCAAUGCACCGGA
This 32-nucleotide ribosomal RNA is filed under the name Platanus rzedowskii. The record is from RNAcentral. Lineage: Eukaryota; Viridiplantae; Streptophyta; Magnoliopsida; Proteales; Platanaceae.